GACGAACGCUGGCGGCGUGCCUAAUACAUGCAAGUCGAACGAAACUUUCUUACACCGAAUGCUUGCAUUCACCGUAAGAAGUUGAGUGGCGGACGGGUGAGUAACACGUGGGUAACCUGCCUAAAAGAAGGGGAUAACACUUGGAAACAGGUGCUAAUACCGUAUAUCUCUAAGGAUCGCAUGAUCCUUAGAUGAAAGAUGGUUCUGCUAUCGCUUUUAGAUGGACUCGCGGCGUAUUAACUAGUUGGUGGGGUAACGGCCUACCAAGGUGAUGAGACGUAGCCGAACUGAGAGGUUGAUCGGCCACAUUGGGACUGAGACACGGCCCAAACUCCGACGGGAGGCAGCAGUAGGGAAUCUUCCACAAUGGACGCAAGUCUGAUGGAGCAACGCCGCGUGAGUGAAGAAGGUCUUCGGAUCGUAAAACUCUGUUGUUAGAGAAGAACACGAGUGUGAGUAACUGUUCAUUCGAUGACGGUAUCUAACCAGCAAGUCACGGCUAACUACGUGCCAGCCGCCGCGGUAA
RNAcentral lists this ribosomal RNA (526 nucleotides) under uncultured bacterium. RNAcentral's name for it is "partial 16S ribosomal RNA". It matches the Rfam family "Bacterial small subunit ribosomal RNA", at positions 28 to 523 of the family's 1533-position model. The record is from RNAcentral.